UUCCCUGUAUAUUUUUGAGAGUUUACGUUUUCAAUUUGUGAGAAGUUGCAUAGAAGUGAGUUGAGUUGAUUUGUAACGUACUCGAAGUGUGAAUGGAUGAGUUCUAGUUUGGUAGCGGCACGAUGCGUGGUGCGAGUUAGGCCAUUACCUGAGUUCACCAUUUUAUUAGAAAUCAUGGAAAUAAAAUGACGUUGAAUCCAAAAAAUGAUAAAAAAUUGCAAAUCGAAGAGAUAUUUCAAAUUUGUUGGCAGAAAGGUACAUCAAACAUGUAUUUAUGCGUCAAAACGAAAAUUUUAAUUUGAUAUUAUUGUCAAGACUAGAGUGUACAGUUGAAUGAAAAUGCUUUAAUUUGCCUAAUGGAUCGUAGAGCUGAAAAUACGAGCUUAUGAAAACUGGCCGACUAACCGUUGUGAACCCGUCAAAGCCUACACUUCAAUACUGAGGCUGUUGAUAUUUAAUGUUCCAAUUACAUGCUUAUAUUCAGUUGAUAUUAUCAUUACAUAUCAAAUAAUUUCGAAUAUUUGUAAUGAGAAUAGAUUCAUAGUUUUGGAAGGACCAUUGUAGUAGACAAUUGUAGUUCUAUUUAGCAGUGUAGUCACGCCUUUCAAAAAUUCUCUAGAUUUGCAUAUUAACGACAACAGUUGUAUGGCUUCUUUAAGAAAUGAAUUGAUUUAUCUUAGGAUACUCUCCAAUUUGCUGUUCAGUCUACAUUGUAAAAUUAAAUGCAUAAUUUUAACUAA
This is a long non-coding RNA of Hermetia illucens (black soldier fly), 740 nucleotides long. RefSeq lists it as uncharacterized. The transcript is spliced from 3 exons. Lineage: Eukaryota; Metazoa; Arthropoda; Insecta; Diptera; Stratiomyidae. The record is from RefSeq and is a predicted model, not a curated record.